GGGAUCUUAGCUCAGCUGGGAGAGCAUCUGCCUUACAAGCAGAGGGUCAUAGGUUCGAGCCCUAUAGGCCCCA
Molecule: transfer RNA, 73 nt
Filed under: Blautia producta
Lineage: Bacteria; Bacillati; Bacillota; Clostridia; Lachnospirales; Lachnospiraceae
Also listed under: 5 other names
Description: tRNA-Val
Rfam family: tRNA
About the family: Transfer RNA (tRNA) molecules are approximately 80 nucleotides in length. Their secondary structure includes four short double-helical elements and three loops (D, anti-codon, and T loops).
Source: RNAcentral